Molecule: transfer RNA, 72 nt
Filed under: Heterocephalus glaber (naked mole-rat)
Lineage: Eukaryota; Metazoa; Chordata; Mammalia; Rodentia; Bathyergidae
Rfam family: tRNA
About the family: Transfer RNA (tRNA) molecules are approximately 80 nucleotides in length. Their secondary structure includes four short double-helical elements and three loops (D, anti-codon, and T loops). Further hydrogen bonds mediate the characteristic L-shaped molecular structure. tRNAs have two regions of fundamental functional importance: the anti-codon, which is responsible for specific mRNA codon recognition, and the 3' end, to which the tRNAs corresponding amino acid is attached (by aminoacyl-tRNA synthetases). tRNAs cope with the degeneracy of the genetic code in two manners: having more than one tRNA (with a specific anti-codon) for a particular amino acid; and 'wobble' base-pairing, i.e. permitting non-standard base-pairing at the 3rd anti-codon position.
Source: Rfam by way of RNAcentral
AGAGAUAUAGCUCAGUGGUAGAGCACUUACCUAGCUUGUAUGAGGCCCUGGGUUCAAUCCCUAGUACCACAA